RNAcentral lists this ribosomal RNA (235 nucleotides) under uncultured bacterium. Its description in RNAcentral is "partial 16S ribosomal RNA". It matches the Rfam family "Bacterial small subunit ribosomal RNA", at positions 57 to 305 of the family's 1533-position model. The record is from RNAcentral.
GCAAGUCGAAUGCUUAGUUUACUAAGCAUGGCAAACGGGAGAGUAACACAUUGGUAAUCUUCCCCAAAGACGAGGAUAACCCGAAGAAAUUCGGAGUAAUACUCGAUAAUAGCGGAGAACAAAAGUUCUUCACUUAAAGCUCCGGCGCUUUGGGAGGAGCCUAUGGCUUAUCAGCUUGUUGGUGAGGUAAAAGCUCACCAAGGCUAUGACGAGUAGCGGGUGUGAGAGCAUGGCC